RNAcentral lists this ribosomal RNA (494 nucleotides) under uncultured bacterium. RNAcentral's name for it is "partial 16S ribosomal RNA". It matches the Rfam family "Bacterial small subunit ribosomal RNA", at positions 899 to 1397 of the family's 1533-position model. The record is from RNAcentral.
ACUCAAAUGAAUUGACGGGGACCCGCACAAGCGGUGGAUGAUGUGGAUUAAUUCGAUGCAACGCGAAAAACCUUACCUACCCUUGACAUGCUUGGAAUCCUGCAGAGAUGUGGGAGUGCCCGAAAGGGAACCAAGGCACAGGUGCUGCAUGGCUGUCGUCAGCUCGUGUCGUGAGAUGUUGGGUUAAGUCCCGCAACGAGCGCAACCCUUGUCACUAGUUGCUACGAAAGGGCACUCUAGUGAGACCGCCGGUGACAAACCGGAGGAAGGUGGGGAUGACGUCAAGUCCUCAUGGCCCUUAUGGGUAGGGCUUCACACGUCAUACAAUGGUCGGUACAGAGGGCUGCUAACCCGCGAGGGGGAGCUAAUCCUAGAAAACCGAUCGUAGUCCGGAUUGCAGUCUGCAACUCGACUGCAUGAAGUCGGAAUCGCUAGUAAUCGCGGAUCAGCAUGUCGCGGUGAAUACGUUCCCGGGUCUUGCACACACCGCCCGU